UGACCAUCAUAGUGUUAUGGUACCACCUGAUUCCAUUUCGAACUCAGAAGUGAAACAUUUCAACGCCGAGGGUAGUACGGGGCAUCCCCGUGUGAGAUUAGGAAAAGGCCAGGUG
RNAcentral lists this ribosomal RNA (115 nucleotides) under Buchnera aphidicola (Nipponaphis monzeni). The record is from RNAcentral. Lineage: Bacteria; Pseudomonadati; Pseudomonadota; Gammaproteobacteria; Enterobacterales; Erwiniaceae.